RNAcentral lists this unclassified non-coding RNA (394 nucleotides) under soil metagenome. RNAcentral describes it as "partial contains 5.8S ribosomal RNA, internal transcribed spacer 2, and large subunit ribosomal RNA". The stretch from base 1 to 122 matches the Rfam family "5.8S ribosomal RNA", at positions 35 to 154 of the family's 154-position model. The record is from RNAcentral.
GAUGAAGAACGUAGUGAAAUGCGAUACUUGGUGUGAAUUGCAGAAUCCCGUGAACCAUCGAGUCUUUGAACGCAAGUUGCGCCCGAAGCCAUCAGGUUGAGGGCACGUCUGCCUGGGCGUCACAUAUCGUUGCCCAAUGCCUAUUGCAGUGCAAUAGGAAUUUCUAGGGCGAAUGAUGGCUUCCCGUGAGCGUUGUUGCCUCGCGGUUGGUUGAAAAUCGAGUCCUUGGUAGGGUGUGCCAUGGUAGAUGGUGGUCGAGUUAGAACGAUACCGAUCAUGUGCAUGCUCCCCAAAAUAUGGCCUCUAUGACCCACACGCGUCUUUUGACGCUCAUGACGAGACCUCAGGUCAGGCGGGGCUACCCGCUGAAUUUAAGCAUAUCAAUAAGCGGAGG